Molecule: small RNA, 28 nt
Filed under: Bombyx mori (domestic silkworm)
Lineage: Eukaryota; Metazoa; Arthropoda; Insecta; Lepidoptera; Bombycidae
Description: ovarian small RNA-16047
Source: RNAcentral
GAGUUUGAAGCUUGUUGUCGGGCGAGUU